AACAUUUUGAAAACUGGGGCUGCUGGCGGUGACAGAAUCCUUACUGAUGCACAGCGAAAGGGAAACUGCACUUAGUGCUGGAUGACAUGACACCAGUUUGUGUAGGUUGCUAAGGUGAGAGAGCUCUGAAGGUCCUGCCAACUCUACGUCCCCCAUCCAUCUACAAGAGAGGAGGAAAAGCCUUCAGACCCACCCACUGAGGAGUCCCACAGGUCAUUUAUUGACAUGCAGCCUGUGGAGACCAACAUGGUUGAGUGUUUACAAAACGUUCCUGCACAUUUUGUGCCUUAGGGAUGAGAUGAGGAUGUGCCAGCCC
This is a long non-coding RNA of Seriola dumerili (greater amberjack), 316 nucleotides long. RefSeq lists it as uncharacterized. The transcript has 3 exons. The record is from RefSeq and is a predicted model, not a curated record. NCBI's taxonomy places the organism in Eukaryota, Metazoa, Chordata, Actinopteri, Carangiformes, Carangidae.